This 492-nucleotide ribosomal RNA is filed under the name uncultured bacterium. RNAcentral describes it as "partial 16S ribosomal RNA". It matches the Rfam family "Bacterial small subunit ribosomal RNA", at positions 29 to 507 of the family's 1533-position model. The record is from RNAcentral.
AGUGAACGCUGGCGGUAGGCCUAACACAUGCAAGUCGAACGGCAGCACAGUAAGAGCUUGCUCUUACGGGUGGCGAGUGGCGGACGGGUGAGGAAUACAUCGGAAUCUACUUUUUCGUGGGGGAUAACGUAGGGAAACUUCCGCUAAUACCGCAUACGUCCUACGGGUAGAAGCAGGGGCUCUUCGGACCUUGCGCGAUUGAAUGAGCCGAUGUCGGAUUAGCUAGUUGGCGGGGUAAAGGCCCACCAAGGCGACGAACCGUAGCUGGUCUGAGAGGAUGAUCAGCCACACUGGAACUGAGACACGGUCCAGACUCCUACGGGAGGAAGCAGUGGGGAAUAUUGGACAAUGGGCGAAAGCCUGAUCCAGCCAUACCGCGUGAGUGAAGAAGGCCUUCGGGUUGUAAAGCCCUUUUGUUGGGAAAGAAAAGCAGCAGGUUAAUACCCCGCUGUUCUGACGGUACCCAAAGAAUAAGCACCGGCUAACUUCGUG